RNAcentral lists this long non-coding RNA (1478 nucleotides) under Macaca fascicularis (crab-eating macaque). Its description in RNAcentral is "lncRNA (ENSMFAG00000048657.1)". The record is from RNAcentral. Lineage: Eukaryota; Metazoa; Chordata; Mammalia; Primates; Cercopithecidae.
GUUGUACCUCUAUGGAAACGAAGGCUUAACUAAUAAAUGGCAGAGCUACGAAAACUUGACCUUUGGUCUGUGUCCUACCUUCACACUUAGUCCCAUGAGAUUCUUGCCUCUGUCUAGUACCUGAAGAAUUCAAUCCAAACUCCUGAGCCUGGAAUUUCAGCCCCUCGACCAUCUGUACGCAUUUCCCUCCCAGGCUUCUGUCUUCUUGCUCCUCGCCAUGCAUUGCAUGCUUGAGUCACACCAGAUCACUCGCUGUAACUGGUCCUUGCGUUCUUCCAGCCUUUUGCACAGGCUGUUCUUUCCCCAUGGAAUCUUUUUCUCUCCUCUCUGCCUGGCAAGCUGCCAAUGUGAUUUUCUCCUAAUACUCAAUCUGACUGUGACUUCCCUGUUUAAAGCCUCUCUGUGUUUCCUCACCACUUUCCAUGAUCAGGAUGAAGUUUCUUAACUUUACACAGAAGAUCUUCAAGUUGUGGGUUCUGCUGACAUUGCAGGCUCACCUCUCCCACUUUUGGCUCCUGCUUAAUCCUCCACACCAUGAUCUACUCAGAGUUCCCUGAGCGUUUGAGGCACUCGCUGUUCCAGGCCUUUGCACAUGCUAUUUCUUUCCUAGAACACUCUUCGCACCUCCUUCACUUGGUUAAUUUUUACCUGUUCUUAUCAUAGCUUGGGCGACACCUCCUCAGAGAUUUUUUCCCUUACCCUUCCAGCAUAUCUGUGCCCUCCCUCCUCCCUCAAGGUAUCUGUUUUAAAAUAUAUUUUUUCUAUACUACGAGUUCCUCAACAUCAGUGACCAAAUCUAAUUAAUGUCUGAUUUUCCAGAGCCUCCCAUAGGGCCUGGCAUCCAGACAGUCUUAAGAAAUAAGUGAUGGGCCGGGCAUGGUGGCUUAUGCCUAUAAUCACAGCACUUUGGGAGGCCAAGGCGGGCAGAUAGUUUGAUCUCAGGAGUUCAAGACCAGCCUGGGCAACAAAGCAAGACCCCGUCUCUACAAAAUAAAGUUAAAAAAUUAGCUGGGUGUAGUGGCAUGUGCCUAUAGUCCCAGCUACUCAGGAGGCUGAGGUGGGAGGAUGGCUUGAGCCCAGAAGAUCGAGGCUGCAGUGAGUCAUGAUCACACCACUACACCCUAGCCUGGGCAACAGAACAAGACCCUGUCUCUAAAAAUAAAAUAAAGUUAAAAGAAAGGAAAAGAAAUAAAACGGGCAGGGGGGCUCCUGCCUAUAAUCUCACCACUUUGGGAGGCUGAGGUGGGUGGAUCACUUGAACCCAAGAGUUCAAGACCAGCCCAGGCAACAUGGUGAAACCCUGUCACUACAAAAAAUACAAAAAUUAGCCAAGUGUGGUGGUUGCAUGCCUGUGGUCCAGCUCCUCAGGAGGCUGAGGCAGAGAAUCGCUUGAGGCCUAGGAAGCACAGUUUACGGUGAGCCAAGAUCAUGCCGUUCCACUCCUGCCUGGGCAACAGAGUAAGACUCUUGUCUCAAAA